This 2029-nucleotide long non-coding RNA is filed under the name Pogona vitticeps (central bearded dragon). RNAcentral describes it as "lncRNA (ENSPVIG00000005562.1)". The record is from RNAcentral. Lineage: Eukaryota; Metazoa; Chordata; Lepidosauria; Squamata; Agamidae.
AGUCUAAUAGAAGUACCACCUAUGUUUGACUUUAAACUAAAGAAGUUGUUUGCGAGAACAUUUAGUGAUACUGUCGAAAGAAAUUUCAGUGUUACAAAUAGCUGAUUUAUCGUUAUUGGCUUUAUUUUCAGAACAGCUUCUCUUCUGCAGCCAUGGUCAAAUAGUGCAAGGAAUAUGAUGGUAGGCUGAUCAUGAAGAGGAAUAAUAGAAUCAACCUGUUCUGAACUUAUUGGCAGGUUGCUGUGCUGCUUUUUAAGAGAGAGAAAAAUCCCUGAAAAAACAGCCUCUGUCUUGAAGCAUUUUUCAACACGAUCUCAUGGAUGUUUACUUAGACGUAAAUCCCACUGAAUUCAAGGGUGCUUACCUGCAAUUCUGUCACAAUCAUCUUGUACAACAUCCUAUUGUUUUGCAUGGCUUGUUAGUGACAGAUAUAUGGCAGCUUUGGAUGAGGCACAAAUGUUCAAAUCACCCAGCAGGAACAUGGAGACUGGCAAACUUCCAGCAGAAGCUUAAGGAAAUGCCUAGGUUUAUGGGAGAUUUUUUCACAGAUAAGAAGAUGAGGAGGACGAGAGAAAGCGAUGGACAUGGGAACUGAUCUGGGAUGUACUACUGUUAUCCUCCUGCUGGAGAGGCUCAACAAGGAUGUGUUAUGGGAACUAAGUCAGACGUAUUCAAGUAACAUUGUUUUCACAGAUACCAGGGACUUGUUUUAGUUUGUUAUCCAUAAAGCCAUAUGCUUAGCUCUUACAUCUUCUCACCUCAUCAUAUUGUUCUGGACGUCAUCUCUGACAGCUACAUGGUUUAACCAAUCCUCUGCAUAGUUUGUGGGUCAGAUAAGAUCAGCCCAAGAUAUUUUUCUGCCUGAGGCAAAGGAACCAAUCAUGUCACUCACCCAAGUGAAGGCAAGAGGUAAAGGUUACCCUUGACAUUUUUAGUCCAGUCGUGUCUGAUUCUAGGGGGUGGUGCUCAUCCUGUUUUCAAGCCGUAGAGCCAGCGCUUGUCCAAAGACAGUUUCCAUUGUCAUAUGGCCAGCGUGACUAGGGAGUGCCGUUUUACCUUCCCACCGAGGUGGUACCUAUUCAUCUACUCGCAUUUACAGGCUUUCGAACUGCUAGGUUGGCGAGAAGCUGGGACAAAGCGAUGGGAGCUCACUCCAUCGCGUGGAUUUGAUCCUAUGACUGCUGGUCUUCUGACCCUGCAGCACAGGCUUCUGCGGUUUAGCCCACAAUGCCACCACAUCCCCAUUAAGUAAAGGCAAGUAGUACCUAAAUUCAGUUUAUUUUGACACAAAAAGUAGGAAACUCCACAUGUGCCUAUUUUUACUGCUCCCUGGCAGUAAAAAAAAAAUAGAAAAAUAAGAUAAGCAACACUUUGCUGUCCUUUCAUAACAUCCGAAAUCUGCUGCCCGAGGAGGAUCCUUCACUCUGCCUAAGAAUGAAGCUGGCACUGGUUUCAGAAAAGACUACAGAACAGGCUGGUUAAACAAGGAUGCUCCCUCACAUAGUUGAGUUGGGAUGUUGUAGAAAAGCAACAAAUUAUUUGUUAUUCAUUUGUAAUUCUAAUUUUGCUCCCAGGAAAAGGUAUGUGCAGGCUUUUCUAUCUUUGAGUGGAAGAUAACUUGGCCAGCUUUGGUCAGUGCUCUGCUCUCUCAGCUUAGGGAAUGGCUGCCAUUUUUGGUCCCACCUCAGCUCCAAAAUACCUUGGGUUGGCCCUGAUAUCAUGUGUUCUCUAUGCAGGGCGACUCAUCCUGUCCCUUUGACUUCAGAAACCCCCUCAUCUGUGAGCUACAAACCACUUUAUGUUUCAUUGACUCUGAAGAAAAGGUCCAGGUGGCUGCUCCUGCUGUGAUCGAACCUUAGUAAUUAAUGUUGUGCCUGUCACACGUAGGUUUAAGAAAAUCAUAUUUUGGCUUCCACCACCCUUCAUCAGCUCCAUCUGUUUGUCAGAAACAAGUAGCAGAAGGGUGAGGAAAAACUAUGCUUUAUUUCAUUUCUACACCUAAAAUAAAUCUGUUUUGCUUGGACUUGCA